UACGUAGGGGGGCAAGCGUUGUCCGGAUUUAUUGGGCGUAAAGAGCUCGUAGGCGGCUUGUCACGUCGGGUGUGAAAGCCCGGGGCUUAACCCCGGGUCUGCAUUCGAUACGGGCAGGCUAGAGUGUGGUAGGGGAGAUCGGAAUCCUGGUGUAGCGGUGAAAUGCGCAGAUAUCAGGAGGAACACCGGUGGCGAAGGCGGAUCUCUGGGCCAUUACUGACGCUGAGGAGCGAAAGCGUGGGGAGCGAACAGG
This 253-nucleotide ribosomal RNA is filed under the name uncultured bacterium. Its description in RNAcentral is "partial 16S ribosomal RNA". It matches the Rfam family "Bacterial small subunit ribosomal RNA", at positions 524 to 776 of the family's 1533-position model. The record is from RNAcentral.